RNAcentral lists this ribosomal RNA (301 nucleotides) under uncultured bacterium. RNAcentral's name for it is "partial 16S ribosomal RNA". It matches the Rfam family "Bacterial small subunit ribosomal RNA", at positions 509 to 807 of the family's 1533-position model. The record is from RNAcentral.
CAGCCGCCACGGUAAUACGAAGGGUGCAAGCGUUAAUCGGAAUUACUGGGCGUAAAGCGUGCGUAGGUGGUGGUUUAAGUCCGUUGUGAAAGCCCUGGGCUCAACCUGGGAAUUGCAGUGGAUACUGGAUCACUAGAGUGUGGUAGAGGAUAGUGGAAUUUCCGGUGUAGCAGUGAAAUGCGUAGAGAUCGGAAGGAACAUCUGUGGCGAAGGCGACUAUCUGGGCCAACACUGACACUGAGGCGCGAAAGCGUGGGGAGCAAACAGGAUUAGAUACCCCGGUAGUCCCUGUCUCUUAUAC